RNAcentral lists this ribosomal RNA (331 nucleotides) under uncultured eukaryote. RNAcentral's name for it is "partial 18S ribosomal RNA". It matches the Rfam family "Eukaryotic small subunit ribosomal RNA", at positions 1470 to 1796 of the family's 1831-position model. The record is from RNAcentral.
CCCCUAGAUGUUCUGGGCCGCACGCGCGCUACACUGAACAGUUCAACAAGUCUUAACCUUGGCCGAUAGGUCUGGGUAAUCUUUGAACGCUGUUCGUGAUUGGGAUAGACCUUUGCAAUUAUGGGUCUUCAACGAGGAAUUCCUAGUAAACGCAAGUCAUCAGCUUGCAUUGAUUACGUCCCUGCCCUUUGUACACACCGCCCGUCGCUACUACCGAUUGAAUGGUUUAGUGAGAUCUUCGGAUUGGCGCCACUGUGGCUCAGCAAUGGGCUCGGUGGAUGUCGAGAAGUUGAUCAAACUUGAUCAUUUAGAGGAAGUAAAAGUCGUANCA